CUAUACAUGCAGUCGAGCGGAUCAAGGGAGCUUGCUCCCUGAGAUCAGCGGCGGACGGGUGAGUAACACGUGGGUAACCUGCCUGUAAGACUGGGAUAACUCCGGGAAACCGGGGCUAAUACCGGAUAACUCAGUUCCUCGCAUGAGGAACUGUUGAAAGGUGGCUUCUCCUACCCCUUUCCGAAGGACCCCCGGCGCAAUAACUAAUUGGGGAAGGAACGGCUCCCCCAGGGGAACAAGCCUAACCCAACUGAAAGGGUGAUCCGCCCCCCUGGGACUGAAACCCCGCCCAAACUCCUACGGGAGGGCACCAUAGGGAAUCCUCCCCAAUGGAACAAAGUCUGAAGGAACCACCCCCCGUGGGUGAAAAAAGUUUUCCGAACCUAAAACUCUGUUGUUAAGGAAAAACAAGUGGCCUUCCAAUAAGGCGGCCGCCUGGCGGUACCUAACCCAAAAGCCACGGCUAACUACCUGCCCACCGCCCCCGUUAUACCUAAGUUGCCAGCCGUGGCCCGGAUUUUUGGCGUAAAGGCGCGCAGGUGGUUCUAAGUCAGAUGUUAAGCCCCCGCUCACCUGGGAGGGCCUUGAACUGGGGACUUGAUGCCGAAAAGAAAGUGAAUUCCAGUGUAGCGUGAAAUGCGUAAUUUUUGGAGGAACACAGUGGCGAAGGCGACUUUCUGGUCUGUAACUGACACUGAGCGCGAAAGCGUGGGAGCAACAGGAUUAGAUACCCUGGUAGUCACGCCGUAACGAUGAUGCUAGUGUUAGGGGUUUCCGCCCCUUAGUGCUGCAGCUAACGCAUUAAGCACUCCGCCUGGGGAGUACGGUCGCAAGACUGAAACUCAAAGGAAUUGACGGGGGCCCGCACAAGCGGUGGAGCAUGUGGUUUAAUUCGAAGCAACGCGAAGAACCUUACCAGGUCUUGACAUCCUCUGACAACCCUAGAGAUAGGGCUUUCCCCUUCGGGGGACAGAGUGACAGGUGGUGCAUGGUUGUCGUCAGCUCGUGUCGUGAGAUGUUGGGUUAAGUCCCGCAACGAGCGCAACCCUUGAUCUUAGUUGCCAGCAUUCAGUUGGGCACUCUAAGAUGACUGCCGGUG
RNAcentral lists this ribosomal RNA (1099 nucleotides) under Rossellomorea vietnamensis. Its description in RNAcentral is "bacterial SSU rRNA". It matches the Rfam family "Bacterial small subunit ribosomal RNA", at positions 49 to 1157 of the family's 1533-position model. Lineage: Bacteria; Bacillati; Bacillota; Bacilli; Caryophanales; Bacillaceae. The record is from RNAcentral.